Molecule: ribosomal RNA, 468 nt
Filed under: uncultured bacterium
Lineage: Bacteria
Description: partial 16S ribosomal RNA
Rfam family: Bacterial small subunit ribosomal RNA
Source: RNAcentral
GACGAACGCUGGCGGCGUGCUUAACACAUGCAAGUCGAACGGAAAGGCCCUGCUUUUGUGGGGUGCUCGAGUGGCGAACGGGUGAGUAACACGUGAGUAACCUGCCCUUGACUUUGGGAUAACUUCAGGAAACUGGGGCUAAUACCGGAUAGGAGCUCCUGCUGCAUGGUGGGGGUUGGAAAGUUUCGGCGGUUGGGGAUGGACUCGCGGCUUAUCAGCUUGUUGGUGGGGUAGUGGCUUACCAAGGCUUUGACGGGUGGCCGGCCUGAGAGGGUGACCGGCCACAUUGGGACUGAGAUACGGCCCAGACUCCUACGGGAGGCAGCAGUGGGGAAUAUUGCACAAUGGGCUGAAGCCUGAUGCAGCAACGCCGCGUGCGGUAUGACGGCCUUCGGGUUGUAAUCCGCUUUCGCCUGUGACGAAGCGUGAGUGACGGUAAUGGGUAAAGAAGCACCGGCUAACUACGUG